This 253-nucleotide ribosomal RNA is filed under the name uncultured bacterium. Its description in RNAcentral is "partial 16S ribosomal RNA". It matches the Rfam family "Bacterial small subunit ribosomal RNA", at positions 524 to 776 of the family's 1533-position model. The record is from RNAcentral.
UACGGAGGGUGCAAGCGUUAUUCGGAAUUACUGGGCGUAAAGAGCGCGUAGGCGGCUUUGCAAGUCGGAUGUGAAAGCCCUGGGCUUAACCUGGGAAUUGCAUUCGAUACUGCUUAGCUAGAGUAUGGUAGAGGGAAGUGGAAUUUCCGGUGUAGCGGUGAAAUGCGUAGAUAUCGGAAGGAACACCAGUGGCGAAGGCGACUUCCUGGGCCAAUACUGACGCUGAGGCGCGAAAGCGUGGGGAGCAAACAGG